CCUUUCAUAAAUAAAUACAAUGUCUAUAGACUCUAUACUUCUACAAAUCACCUCAUUACUGGGUGCAAACUCUUCCUCAUACUGUACAGUGACGAUGACACAUACUUUUUUUUUGUUUUUGGUUUAAAAAAAAAUGUCUAGCAGCAGAAAUGUCUUGAAAAACUAGCCACAUAUAUUUUGUUGACACGAAAAGAAGCUAAUCUAAGCUUGAUGACCGGCUCCAUCUUCCUUUCAAGUAUUCUUCCGAGGAAGUUCCGCUGCUUUGCUCCCCACUGCUGAGCGAUGGGGAGGUGUCUUCUGUGUCAAGCAAUGCAAGGAUCAAAUGAGUCUGCACUUGAAUGGUGAUAAACUUCAUCGUCAGUAUUUUCCUUGCUUUC
Long non-coding RNA from Rhododendron vialii, 377 nucleotides. RefSeq lists it as uncharacterized. Lineage: Eukaryota; Viridiplantae; Streptophyta; Magnoliopsida; Ericales; Ericaceae. The transcript is spliced from 2 exons. The record is from RefSeq and is a predicted model, not a curated record.